RNAcentral lists this ribosomal RNA (478 nucleotides) under uncultured bacterium. RNAcentral describes it as "partial 16S ribosomal RNA". It matches the Rfam family "Bacterial small subunit ribosomal RNA", at positions 28 to 523 of the family's 1533-position model. The record is from RNAcentral.
GACGAACGCUGGCGGCGUGCUUAACACAUGCAAGUCGAACGGUAAGGCCCUUCGGGGUACACGAGUGGCGAACGGGUGAGUAACACGUGGGUGAUCUGCCCUGCACUUCGGGAUAAGCCUGGGAAACUGGGUCUAGUACCGGCUAGGACCAAUGCCCGCAUGGGUGGUGGUGGAAAGCUUUUGCGGUGUGGGAUGGGCCCGCGGCCUAUCAGCUUGUUGGUGGGGUGAUGGCCUACCAAGGCGACGACGGGUAGCCGGCCUGAGAGGGUGACCGGCCACACUGGGACUGAGAUACGGCCCAGACUCCUACGGGAGGCAGCAGUGGGGAAUAUUGCACAAUGGGCGCAAGCCUGAUGCAGCGACGCCGCGUGAGGGAUGACGGCCUCCGGGUUGUAAACCUCUUUCAGCACCGACGAAGCGCAAGUGACGGUAGGUGCAGAAGAAGGACCGGCCAACUACGUGCCAGCCGCCGCAGUAA